RNAcentral lists this ribosomal RNA (281 nucleotides) under uncultured archaeon. Its description in RNAcentral is "partial 16S rRNA". It matches the Rfam family "Archaeal small subunit ribosomal RNA", at positions 1047 to 1325 of the family's 1478-position model. The record is from RNAcentral.
GAGACCCACAUGCUUAGUUGCCAUCAAGAGCCUACGGGUUUGUUGGGAACGCUAAGCAGACCGCCAUCGUACAGAUGGAGGAAGGAGUGGGCCACGGCAGGUCAGUAUGCCCCAGAUCCCCCGGGCCACACGCGAGCUGCAAUGGUAUGGACAAUGGGUAUCGACACCGAAAGGUGAAGGCAAUCUCCUAAACCCAUCCUUAGUUCGGAUUGUGGGCUGCAACUCGCCCACAUGAAGCUGGAAUCUGUAGUAAUCGUGUCUCAACAUGGCACGGUGAAUAU